CGGAGGAUCCAAGCGUUAUCCGGAAUCAUUGGGUUUAAAGGGUCCGUAGGCGGUUUUGUAAGUCAGUGGUGAAAGCCCAUCGCUCAACGGUGGAACGGCCAUUGAUACUGCAAGACUUGAAUUAUUAGGAAGUAACUAGAAUAUGUAGUGUAGCGGUGAAAUGCUUAGAUAUUACAUGGAAUACCAAUUGCGAAGGCAGGUUACUACUAAUGGAUUGACGCUGAUGGACGAAAGCGUGGGGAGCGAACAGGAUUAGAUACCCUGGUAGUCCACGCCGUAAACGAUGGAUACUAGCUGUUCGGAGCAAUCUGAGUGGCUAAGCGAAAGUGAUAAGUAUCCCACCUGGGGAGUACGUUCGCAAGAAUG
RNAcentral lists this ribosomal RNA (366 nucleotides) under uncultured organism. RNAcentral describes it as "bacterial SSU rRNA". It matches the Rfam family "Bacterial small subunit ribosomal RNA", at positions 526 to 896 of the family's 1533-position model. The record is from RNAcentral.